Molecule: ribosomal RNA, 856 nt
Filed under: Oliveonia sp. VM-2020b
Lineage: Eukaryota; Fungi; Basidiomycota; Agaricomycetes; Cantharellales; Oliveoniaceae
Description: partial large subunit ribosomal RNA
Rfam family: Eukaryotic large subunit ribosomal RNA
Source: RNAcentral
GGAUUCCCCUAGUAACGGCGAGUGAAGCGGGAAGAGCUCAAAUUUGAAAUCUGGCAGUCUACGAUUGUCCGAGUUGUAAUCUAGAGAGGUGUUUUCCGUGCCGGACCAUGUACAAGUCCCUUGGAACAGGGCGUCAUAGAGGGUGAGAAUCCCGUCCAUGACAUGGACUCCCGGUGCUCUGUGAUACACCUUCAAAGAGUCGAGUUGUUUGGGAAUGCAGCUCAAAAUGGGUGGUAAAUUCCAUCUAAAGCUAAAUACAGGCGAGAGACCGAUAGCGAACAAGUACCGUGAGGGAAAGAUGAAAAGAACUUUGGAAAGAGAGUUAAACAGUACGUGAAAUUGUUGAAAGGGAAACGCUUGGAGUCAGUCGCGUCUGCUGAGACUCAGCCUUGCUUUUGCUUGGUGUAUUUCUCAGUUGAUGGGCCAACAUCAAUUUUGGGCGGUGGAAAAAGGUGAGAGGAAUGUGGCAGCUUCGGCUGUGUUAUAGCCUCUUGUCAUACACAUUGCCUGGGAUUGAGGACUGCAGCACGCCUUUGGUUGGGGUUCGCCCACACUACGUGCUUAGGAUGUUGGCAAAAUGGCUUUAAACGACCCGUCUUGAAACACGGACCAAGGAGUCUAACAUGCCUGCGAGUGUUUGGGUGUAAAACCCAUGCGCGUAAUGAAAGUGAAAAGUUGGGACUCUUUAGUGAGGCACCGACGCCCGAUCCUGACGUUCUCUGACGGAUUUGAGGCAGAGCAUGUAUGUUGGGACCCGAAAGAUGGUGAACUAUGCCUGAAUAGGGUGAAGCCAGAGGAAACUCUGGUGGAAGCUCGUAGCGAUUCUGACGUGCAAUCGAUCGUCAAUUUGGGUAUA